Molecule: ribosomal RNA, 797 nt
Filed under: Gnetum cuspidatum
Lineage: Eukaryota; Viridiplantae; Streptophyta; Gnetopsida; Gnetales; Gnetaceae
Description: eukaryotic LSU rRNA
Rfam family: Eukaryotic large subunit ribosomal RNA
Source: RNAcentral
GGUACCCGCCGAGUUUAAGCAUAUAACUAAGCGGAGGAAGAGAAACUUACGAGGAUUCCCCUAGUAACGGCGAGCGAACGGGGAUGAGCCCAGCGUGAAAAUCUGGCGGCCGUGGCCGCCCGAAUUGUAGUCUGCAGAAGCGUCCCCUGCGGCGGACCGAGCCUAAGUCCCCUGGAACGGGGCGCCGGAGAGGGUGACAGCCCCAUCGGGCUCGGACCCUGCUGCAUCACGGGGCGCUAUCGGCGAGUCGGGUUGUUUGGGAAUGCAGCCCUAAGCGGGUGGUAAAUUCCGUCCAAGGCUAAAUACGCGCGAGAGACCGAUAGCGAACAAGUACCGCGAGGGAAAGAUGAAAAGGACUUUGAAAAGAGAGUUAAAAAGUGCUUGAAAUUGUCGAGAGGGAAGCGGAUGGAGGCCAACGUUGCUUCCCGGCCGGACGUGGAGCGGAGCGUGUACGCUUCGGUCCGCCGCUCGGUCCGGGAGGCGAGUCCGCGUGGAUCGGCGCGGUGGCACAAGCGUGCGCAGCUGGCUGCGCGCGUGCUGCCGCUGCGACGGUCGAGGGCCCAAGCGCGCGUCCCCUGGAGGGGCGGGUCCUGCGGCGCCUGCGCGCUCGGGACGCGGAUUGCGUGGGCUUUCCAUUCGACCCGUCUUGAAACACGGACCAAGGAGUCUAACAUGCGUGCGAGUCGUCGGGUUUGGAAACCCGCACGGCGCAAGGAAGCUGAAAGUCGGGAUCCGUGCGCGGGCGCGGAGCACCGUCCACCGACCUCGAUCUUGUUGAGAAGGGUUCGAGUGAGAGC